GCUUCCGUAGUUCAAUGGUAGAAUAACGCACUUGUAAUGCGUGGGUUCACAGUUCGAGUCUGUGCGGAAGCUCCA
This 75-nucleotide transfer RNA is filed under the name Candidatus Faecinaster equi. RNAcentral describes it as "tRNA-Thr". It matches the Rfam family "tRNA". Rfam says of the family: Transfer RNA (tRNA) molecules are approximately 80 nucleotides in length. Lineage: Bacteria; Pseudomonadati; Bacteroidota; Bacteroidia; Bacteroidales; Bacteroidaceae. The record is from RNAcentral.